Long non-coding RNA from Calidris pugnax (ruff), 331 nucleotides. RefSeq lists it as uncharacterized. The record is from RefSeq and is a predicted model, not a curated record. The transcript is spliced from 3 exons. Lineage: Eukaryota; Metazoa; Chordata; Aves; Charadriiformes; Scolopacidae.
CUCUGAAAUCCUUUGACCGUGGAAGCAUUGCUCAACAGAAGUGGAAGACUUGUUCAUUCCUGCUGCCAGCUUCCUCUCCCUGUCUGCAAGCAAGAGGUUAUCAGGGGUCAGCCGAAGAAUGGAAGGUGUGGCAGUACAUUGGGAGAUACCCCAAAUCCUGCAGAGUUGGAUUAAGAGACAGGAAAAGGAUGGGACUUUUGUCUAAAUGCCAGGUAUAGACAGACAUACCCCAGAGUUGUGGCACCCAUUAAUAGCUCAAGCAAGCCCAGGCAGCUGUGUUUUGAUCAGUGGAAAGGUUUCCUGGCACCCAAGAACUGAAAUCACCUUUUGG